This 221-nucleotide small nucleolar RNA is filed under the name Macleaya cordata. RNAcentral describes it as "Plant small nucleolar RNA U3". It matches the Rfam family "Plant small nucleolar RNA U3". Rfam says of the family: Small nucleolar RNAs (snoRNAs) are involved in the processing and modification of rRNA in the nucleolus. There are two main classes of snoRNAs: the box C/D class, and the box H/ACA class. The record is from Rfam by way of RNAcentral. Lineage: Eukaryota; Viridiplantae; Streptophyta; Magnoliopsida; Ranunculales; Papaveraceae.
ACGACCUUACUUGAACAGGAUCUGUUCUAUAGGAUUGUACCUUUGUAUCCUUGUGUUCUAAGGAGACAGGAACCUAAGUCUGGUCGAUGAAUCAUGACCGCCCGAUCAGAGCGUGAGUAAUGGCUUGUGAUCUACUGUUGACGUAGAUCAUCAAGCUGUAGAGGAUCGUUCUCAGCUUGUCAUCUGACGGCUGAGAUGGUCGUGCGGUUGUCUGACAGACU